GAAGGUAUAGCUCAGUGGUAGAGUGUGUGCCUAACAUGGAUGAGGUCCUGGGUUCAGUCCCCAGUACCUCCA
RNAcentral lists this transfer RNA (72 nucleotides) under Camelus bactrianus (Bactrian camel). It matches the Rfam family "tRNA". From Rfam's summary of the family: Transfer RNA (tRNA) molecules are approximately 80 nucleotides in length. Their secondary structure includes four short double-helical elements and three loops (D, anti-codon, and T loops). The record is from Rfam by way of RNAcentral. Lineage: Eukaryota; Metazoa; Chordata; Mammalia; Artiodactyla; Camelidae. RNAcentral also lists the same sequence under 2 other names.